AUGCGUUACUGAGCAUGUCCGGUGCCCGAAGGGGCGCUUUGGACGCCAGUGAAGCGAGGAGAGGCGGAGAAGGAACCGAGCGGGCAGUUGAGGGAAAUCUCGGAGGAGGUUACCUGCGAUCAAACUGGGGCUGCGUAGUGUUAGGGUCAGGCAGCUUUGAAGUGGAAUCCGGAUCCGCCACUCUCGCUGCGUGAUAUUGGGCAUGCCAUCAAAGCGCUCUCAACCGAACGUCUCGGGAAUUUUCUGGGAAGUUAAGAAUUUCCAAUAAAUCUUGGACUACUCUAAAAUGCACCAGAAAUUACGUGGUCACACUCGUGCAGUGAAAGAAGGCUUUGGCAGUAGCAUAAGACAUUAAGCAGAAGUAGGAAAUGCAGUGAGGAAGAAGUUGUAAUGUUUUCAACAGCUGCCACUAUGGAUCUAGGAUGAGAGCUUUCCACAUGUUGUUAAGAAUGAGAGACAGAUUACUCCAAGGUAGUAACUCCGGAACAAUGAAGGAGGAAGAAUGAAUGAGUUGCGCCCUGAAGAUGGUGGGCUCUCCUUUAUGCAUGAUCAUCACGAUCUCUCUGCAAUGUCUGUCCUGUGACCUCGUGAGGUGUGCAGCGUCAUGCCAGACAUCUGUGUUUGGAUGGCCCUCUGGCUCCUCCACAAUUACUGCAGAGUCAGAAGUGGAAUUUCCGCCUGAUGUUUUAUGUCAAAAUCAGUAUGAAAGACUGCAGCAUGCUGAGUGAGCUUUCCGUUCUCGCUGAGAUGCAAUGCAGGGUCCACCCUCUGCAGGCCACAAUUUUGCCUGGAGGCAAAGCAUUCAGUCUUUCCAUUGGCCUGACAAUUUGAGCCAAGCUUUGAGGCCAACAGACAAAAUGCACUAGCAACUGGAGAGGGCCUGCCUGGUGGCCCUCCCUGUGAGAAGGUAUUCUUCCUGCUCCAUUGACAUCAGGCUUAUUAGCCAUGUUUCUGGAUUUGGUCCAUUUCAUCAUAAAGAGAACAUGGAGCAGGGCUGCAGCUGAUCUUCAAAGGGCAUGAACACAAGCCAGAGAGAAGCCGUUAUUGUUGUAAGCCCUGAAGAUUUGGGGGAUAUUAUUGCAACACAACUCAGCCCAAGCUGACUAAUACAACAAGUUUCUAUGUAUACAUGGAAAUGUAUGUAAUCUUAGCCUCAAAAAAAAAAAAAAGAAAAAAAGAGUAUCUGAAAAUCCCAGGAUACUCGGGGCUCAUGGUGCGUAGUCAAUGAAAUGAUUAGCUCUCUUUCUUCAUCCUUCCCUCUCCAAUCUUUUCUUUUCAUUCUCCUUCAUCUCAUUCUCCUUCUCUCUGUGAUUUACAAAGCUGGUCAUGGAAAAAAAAACAUAGGAGUCAGAAGGCUUCGAUUCUAGGUUCAUAUGUAUGAGAUUUUUUGGAAAAAACUCAUACUCUCAAGGAGUCUCAGUUUCCUCAUCUUCAAGUGGGGAUAAUAACACCCUCUUUACCUAUUCUGCUGGGUUCUUUUGUAGAUCACAUGAAAGAGAGGUUAUGGAAAUCCUUUAUAUAUGUUUUGAAAAUUCUAUCCAGUUGCUGUGGCCUGAAUGUUUGUGUUCUUCAAAAUUUAUAUGUUGAAACCUAAUCACUGAUGUGAUGGUGUUUGAAGGUAAGGCUGUUAGAAGGUGAUUGGCACAAACCCCUCAUAAGAGAAGCCCCAAAGAGAGCUAGCUUGCCUGUUUCACCAUGUGAGGACAUGGUGAGAAGAAGCCAUGUAAGAAUCAGGAAACAGGUCCUCACCAGGCAUGGAAUAUGUCAGCACCUUGAUCUCGGACUUACCAGCCUCCAAACUAGUGACAAAUAAAUUACUAUUCACUAGCUGCCCAAUUAAUGGUAUUUUAUUAUGAUAGACUGAACUGACUAGGACACUAGUUAUAUGAUGAAAAUACCCUACUACUAUUACUACUGCUAGUACUUCCUGUAUUUGCUCAUAUUUUUGGAGGUCUUAUUAUGUUCCAAGUAUGGUUCUAAGUGCUUUUCAUCAGUAACUCUUGUAAGAGCCUAUUUUUAAUUCAGCAAAGGCAACAAAAUACUUUCCCUGGUUUAGUGAGGAGUAUUAACUAAUUGGGGGUAUAAACAUAACAUGGUUUCGUUUUUUCAAUAGUUGCUACUACUCUUGUUCUCCAUAGCAACUUUGGUUUCAAUUCCAUAACUUUCCUGUUGUUUCUGGUCAAAGGAACAGUUGCCUCUAGUUCCUCUGUCUAUUUUAAUAUUUUGACCCUCUCCAUUCCUGUCAGGACAGGUGGAACUCGUGGCAUAGGAAGUUCAAGUGGCAGAGGGGGCCCAGUCUGUACUUGUCUCUACUCCCCCAGAGGAGGAAAGAAAGCAAGACAGAUGCUCCCUCACGUGGAUGUCCAUGGUAUAGUUGCUGUCCUCCCCUUGGGUGGCCAUGACUGCUAUUCCUGUCCACUGAGCUUCAUGAGGGUUGGGGUGCCUCCCUCACCAGGAUCAGACUCUGGGGUCCCCCAGCAGGAGGUACCGUGUGUAUUCCUCUGUGGGCCUUGUAUGGUCCUCCUUCCCCUUCUGCUGCGUGGGUCCCUAGGGAUGCCAUUGCUCCAAAAAUACUUGCUUUCCCAAGCUCUUCAACUCCAGGGCUCAAAAUCCCCUGGGGAUCCCCUUCCUGUAGGUCUUGAGAAUUGCAACUUGGGGGCAGUCCUGACCUGGUCAUCAUCCUCCUCACCACCUCACUGUGCCAUCUCCUCACCUCAUUCUCUAACCCCCAAAAGAUGACCACUGAUGACCAGUCUCCAGGUCAGUGGAGAACGUGUGUGGAGAAGUGCAGGAGGGGUGACAAAGCAUCCCCAAACCUUACAAGUUAUUUCCUUGAUUUUGGAGAAGAAAUCCACUGGGUAGUGCCCACCACCCCCUCACACAGCUCCAGCUAGAAGUAACGAUUUACUCCCUCCCUACACUCCUCUUAUUUUGUCUUUGAGGGUGGGGGUGCUGGUUUUGCUGAAAUGACUCUGCUCAGUCAGGCUUUUGAGAGUGGGAGGGCAGGGGGCAAAGGCAGAAAGGGAAGCAACCAGGCCUUUCUCUGCCUGUUCUCUGAACUCAGAGCAUGGGGUACUAAGGACCUGGGUUCUCUGCUGUGGGCCCAAAGAGGAAACAACAAGAUCCACUUGGUACCUAAUACCCUGUCACACAGAGGUACAACAUCUCCAGCUUGAGGUGGUGUCCUGUGAGUGAUAGCAGCUCCAGGAUGGUGCAUUUACCACUGAGGAAAAGUAGAAUGAGCCCCAGCGUUGGGGGAGCGAUCUGGGAACUGCCCUCCUAUUUGCUCCCACAAUAUCCUGCAGGUUCUAUGAUACAGGUAGUUAGAGCUACUCACUAGGCUGCCUGUCUUCCCCUCCACUGCAGGACAUGCCUGUAUUUUGUCCUCAUCUGUUGCUGUAGUUUGGAUGUGUUAUUUUUUUUUCCUUUGCAUGAGUUUCCAUGCAGAACACAUGUUGGAAUUUAACUGCCAAUGUAAUGGGUGUUGGGAGGUGGGGCCUUUAUCCAAACUUUAAUUAGGUCAUUAAGAUGAUUAGUGUCCUUCUCUGGAGAGACUGGAUUAGGUCUCUUGGGAAUGAAUUAGUUCUCGUGAAAGCUGGUUGUUAUAAAGUGAGGCUGCCUCUCGUGUUUGGUGUCUUUGUACGCUUCUGCUUCCCCUUCCUUCUGCUUUCCACCGGGAGUCAAAGCAGCACCAAGUCCUCACCAGAUGGGCUGCUGGAUCUUGUACUUCCCAGCCUGCAUGACUGUAAGCUCCAUAAACCUCUUUUUAUUCCUUGUAAAUUACCCGGUCUUAGGUAUUCAACAGAAUUGAAUUGCUUAGGUAGCAACACAAAACAGAUGAAGACAUCUGUAUUCCCAGGACCUGGGACAGCACCUGGUAUAUGCAACCUACUCAGCAAAUGUUCUCUAGAAUCUUUAGAGAUUUGGGAAUAUGAAGGAAAAAAAAACUAGAAAAAUGGGGUGGCAGAUAUAUUCCAGAUAAAAAAUAUUUCAGGUGAAUUCUACAAAUCAGGGUGGGUUUCAGACAACUGUGAAUCAUGAGUAUACUUGUUGGGGGAAAAAUUCACAUAGCAAAGACAGCUACUUCUUGCGGUACCCACUGAGGGACUGGGGCAAGGGCAAUGAGAGGCAUAAG
RNAcentral lists this long non-coding RNA (4135 nucleotides) under Homo sapiens (human). RNAcentral describes it as "non-protein coding lnc-KHDRBS3-4:19". Lineage: Eukaryota; Metazoa; Chordata; Mammalia; Primates; Hominidae. The record is from RNAcentral.